GGAUGAGCACUAAGUUGACUCCAGCACUCAGCUCUGCUGUUCCUUUUCCGACUGGCCUUGGCAAUUACAGUCUCUUCAUUUAAUUUCAAUGGAAACUUUAGCGUUUUAGACCUUGCCCAUGUAGCUGAAUGCUCAUCUCUGGAUCUUAUUUCCAGUCCUCAGGAGGACUGGUUUUGAUGACCUAGUCUGAUUACAGCAUCUUUGACAGCUUUAAAGGAAUUUGCUCUGGGGAAGGAGACAGCUGCUGCUCUGAUGAAGGAUUUUUCUGAGCAGGCCUCCCAAGCUAGAUAUGUCAGCGUGAGAUGCUGCCUACGUUUUUCACUGUGACCAACAGGUUGUUAGACUGCAAUCAAAAGCAGUUGGUAGGAAUGGAGCUGUCCCUGUUAUGAGAUUUGAACUCCUGGCAUCUUUAUCCACUGGAACCUGAGUGCCCAGGACACACUAGAGAGGGAAUUUUGACAGCAUUUCACAAGUCCUGCAGCUGUGAGCCGGUUUCAGCAUGAGG
RNAcentral lists this long non-coding RNA (505 nucleotides) under Manacus vitellinus (golden-collared manakin). RNAcentral describes it as "lncRNA (ENSMVIG00005007917.1)". Lineage: Eukaryota; Metazoa; Chordata; Aves; Passeriformes; Pipridae. The record is from RNAcentral.